UGAGGUUAAGUUAACAAGGGCGCAUGGUGAAUGCCUUGGCACUAGGAGCCGAUGAAGGACGGGACUAACACCGAUAUGCUUCGGGGAGCUGUACGUAAGCUAUGAUCCGGAGAUUUCC
This 118-nucleotide ribosomal RNA is filed under the name Lactiplantibacillus plantarum. RNAcentral's name for it is "Lactobacillus plantarum partial 23S ribosomal RNA". It matches the Rfam family "Bacterial large subunit ribosomal RNA", at positions 1 to 115 of the family's 2925-position model. The record is from RNAcentral. Lineage: Bacteria; Bacillati; Bacillota; Bacilli; Lactobacillales; Lactobacillaceae.